ACUGCUCAGUAACACGUGGCUAACCUGCCCUUGGGACAAGGACAACUCCGGGAAACUGGGGCUAAUCCCUGAUAGGUGAGAACUCCUGGAAUGGAUUCUCGCUGAAAGGACGUUUAGACCAUGCUUCUAGGCGUCGCCCAAGGAGGGGGCCGCGACCGAUCAGGUUGUUGGUGAGGUAACGGCUCACCAAGCCUUUAACCGGUACGGGCCGUGAGAGCGGAAGCCCGGAGAUGGGCACUGAGACAAGGGCCCAGGCCCUACGGGGCGCAGCAGUCGCGAAAACUCCGCAAUACACGAAAGUGUGACGGGGCCAUCCCGAGUGCCAUCCGCUGAGGAUGGCUUUUCCCCAGUGUAUAAAGCUGGGGGAAUAAGGAGAGGGCAAGCCUGGUGUCAGCCGCCGCGGUAAUACCAGCUCUCCGAGUGGUGGGGAUGCUUAUUGGGCCUAAAGCAUUCGUAGCCUGCUUGGCAAGUCCUCCGUUAAAUCCAACGAUUCAAUCGUUGGGCUGCGGGGGAUACUGUCCGGCUAGGGGGCGGGAGAGGCCGACGGUAUCCUCGGGGUAGGGGUGAAAUCCUAUAAUCCCGGGAGGACCACCAGUGGCGAAGGCUGUCGGCUAGAACGCGCUCGACGGUGAGGGAUGAAAGCUGGGGGAGCGAACCGGAUUAGAUACCCGGGUAGUCCCAGCUGUAAACGAUGCAGGCUAGGUGUUGGCGCGGCUACGUGCCGCUCCAGUGCCGCAGGGAAGCCGUUAAGCCUGCCGCCUGGGGAAGUACGGCCGCAAGGCUGAAACUUAAAGGAAUUGGCGGGGGAGCACCACAAGGUGUGAAGCUUGCG
RNAcentral lists this ribosomal RNA (832 nucleotides) under uncultured archaeon. Its description in RNAcentral is "bacterial SSU rRNA". It matches the Rfam family "Archaeal small subunit ribosomal RNA", at positions 85 to 899 of the family's 1478-position model. The record is from RNAcentral.